GAAUCAUGUACCUACGUACGAACAUCACGUUCUCGCUUUCAUACAUCAUUCGACCACGAGCGCUAUCAAGGCAUGACUUGAAUUUGCAAAUUACCUAGUUACCAUGAGUCACAUGUGUUUUGUAUUGUGCUUUGUUAUUGUUUUUAAUAAUUAUAAUGUGAAUGCGUUUAUUUUUACGAAUAAAAUAACGAUAGUUUUAGAAGAUGUACCGAUCCCUCAUCAUAUUGAUAGUAAUAAUAUAAAUGUCGAGGAAACUCCAUUGGAAUACAUUUUAAAAAUUGAUAACAUAAAGUGCGCCGAAAUAGGAGAGUUUUGUAACAACAACAGCGAUUGCUGCUCCCAUUCUUGCUUGGGAUUUAUGAAGAGGUGCGUUUCCUGAAAAGUUUAAAAGAACACAAAAACAUAAUAUAGAAAACUUUUAUUUAUUUAUUUUACGGGCUGGGUGAAUUGGAUGAUUCAAAUGUGUUAAAUCAGGCGGAUUCUUUACAAAAUAUUGAACUUCCUUCAUUGCUCCUUCUGAAAUGUUCCAGAGUUCGGGAUAAUUCUUUUUGAAAUCACUGUACCAAUUGGAAAUCUGUAACAUAGAUUAUAAUAUUAAAGACUAUGUAUUAAA
Pararge aegeria (speckled wood butterfly) is the source of this 613-nucleotide long non-coding RNA. RefSeq lists it as uncharacterized. The transcript is spliced from 2 exons. NCBI's taxonomy places the organism in Eukaryota, Metazoa, Arthropoda, Insecta, Lepidoptera, Nymphalidae. The record is from RefSeq and is a predicted model, not a curated record.